This 6346-nucleotide long non-coding RNA is filed under the name Sus scrofa (pig). RNAcentral describes it as "lncRNA (ENSSSCG00040007066.1)". The record is from RNAcentral. Lineage: Eukaryota; Metazoa; Chordata; Mammalia; Artiodactyla; Suidae.
GGGUAUUUUCCUGUUGACCUGAAGAUGAUGGGCAGGAGAGAAGGACCCACAACCAAUAUGCUCUAGUAAAUGUCCUUAUGAGCAGAUGCCAAAGAUCACAAGAUAUCAAUAAAUAAUGGAAAAAUGUAGACACAAAUCUCUUAAGACAAAGGAUAAGGAUCCCUCCCACACUUCUCUUUUUUGAAUAUAUUCCCUCUAUGGUCCCUCCUCUUCCCAUUGCUGCCUCCUUUUGUCUGAUCUUUGUAUUGUCUUGGAGUGUUUGAUUGUAAUAUUCGUGUGAAAACCUUUUGAGUUAAGCUAAUACAGGAGCAUUCCUUAACUUCCCUAGUACAAGCAUAGCAGCUAUCAAAAGAAUCUCCUAAGAUUUUCCCAGUGCAAUAGUGUUGACCAUUUAUAGUUUAUAUAUGAUCCUAAGACCCCUAAAAGGGCAUGAAUACAGAGAGAAGUAGAUUUUGGUAAUUGUUGGGCCAGGGUUGCAGGAGGAGCUUAUGAUUCAGAACUAGGAGGGGGAAAGGUACUAGCAUUUAUUGGAGGCCUAAAUGCUAUUCUAGAUAUUUUAUGUGUGUAAUUUUCCCAGUAGCUAUAUUGUAAAGCAGGCAUUAUAUUUUCAUUUUACAUAUGAUAAAACUGAGAACCCAGAGGGUUUUAGUAACUUGACCAGUGCUACACAACCAAGAAAGCACUGAAUGAUAACAGUUGCCAUAUGCACACAGGCUAGCAUCACUUCUUUCAGAUGUGGUGUGGUGAGGGCUGUCUAGGAAGAAGAUAGUUUUACACUUUAGAUGAAUUCACACCCUUGCUGCCAUCUGUUUCAACUUCUAUUGAAAUACUCAUAAUAUAUUAAACUAUUUCAGACACGAGACAACUUCCUGCAAAAAGAACUAUUUCUCAUAUAACUCUUCUGGGUUAUAUAGAAAUAGGAGACAAUGAAGAUUUAACAGUGGUAGUUGAGACUGGCAAUUCAACAGUUAAUGCCUGGUGGCAUAAAGCCUCCUGUAGAGAUGAACAACAGAGUGAGAAUUUUAGCAUAUUGGACUUUGGCAGGCAUAGAGUGCAGCAAAUGAGCCUCUUGACAUAUGAUGGCAUCUCAUCAAUUGAAAAGCCCAAAGAAUGUUCUAAACCUUCCAGUCUCUUCUCCUGCAGAGAUAAUAUCACAUCAUUUCUGAGAACAGCAGAAAGUUUAUUUUGUGCAUUUUUCAAAUUUAAAAACUCACAUCCAAGUUCUUCUUAUAAUUUUAAUGGUCCAAGAAAAUGUUCAACCCCAUUGUCUCUUUUAGUUAUUACUAUUGAGAAGCCACUUUAAGAGAAAGACCUUUCUUUUCUCUUUUCAAGAUAAAGACCACCAAAAUAAAUCAUUUCACACAAUUUAUUCAGAAAGGAAGCACAUGUGAAUAUUUCUUAAUCUUCCACAAAGCUCUCCACCCCUGUAAAAAAGAAAGUAUUAAAAUGAAAUGAUAACAACUUGGAGUCCAACAAAUUGUGAUUGUUGAGAGAAAAAUAUAAUAAAAGCAGAGGUUUGCUCUAGGUGGUUCCAUGAGAGACCUCUCUCUUUAAUAGCACUGUUUUUCAUGUCCACUCUCAUGUAUUCAUGAGAAGCCUUUCUUCUCAUCUACUGUCUGGUCACCAUUUUUGGCUUUCUUCUUAAAUUUAACAUGAAAUAACAAUUAAAAAAAUAAAAAAUAAAUAAAUUUAACAUGACCAAUGUGGAAUGCAUAAACCUUUUCUGAAAGUCCACUUUAACUCAUGGCCCCCCACCUAUUUUUAAUGGAAUGGUAAUAUCCUAACCCACUUCAAUUCCAGGAGCCAUCAUGAAGUCCCGUUCUCUGACAGGUUGCCUCUUCAGAUCAUCACCUUUCUCAACAGCCACAGUUCUCCCGUGAGCUUUUGCCUUCCCAUCCUUCAAGACAUCAUGCUCUUUCAGGCCCUUCUUGCCUCACAUAUAAAUCACUGCCAUGGUCUCUUAGUUGACUACCCCUCAUCUGUUCCACCCUCAGUGCUUCUCAUGGCUUCUAGUAGAUGAUUUCAAACUCUAAUUUUCAUUGAUCAACCUCACUACGUAUUAACUUCAUGAUUCCUCCCUUCUAGCCAGGCAGUUCUCGUCAUGGUCUUCCCAAAGCAUGAGGGUAUUCUAGGCACUAUUUUAAGCACUUUUUCACAUACCAUCUAAUUCAGUUCUCACAAAUGUAUAGCGAAUAAGAGUGCUGACUGGUUGCAUUGGGUUUUGAACUUGGGCAGGUAAUAUAAUCCAUUGUAUGACCUUGGGCAGUUAAGGUAAUUGUUCCAUGUGUUUGUUUCCUCAUCUGUAGAAUGAGGAUAAUCCUAACACCUUCUUUACUAAGUUAUUGUAAGGAUUUAAUGCACAAACCUAUUAACAGUGCUUGGCCCAUGAGGCAUGCUCAAUAGAUGUUGACUGUUAGUAUCACAUCAUACAGAAGAAGACACUGAGGCACAGAAAGGUUAAGCUAUUGUCAAGGUCCUGUAACUGUUAGUGAAGUUGGAGUCUGAACCAAAUCUGACUGCGAAAUUCACCUAAGCAUUAUACUAUGCAGCUUCUCUUCAUACCAUGUACACCUGCAGUCCCUCCCCAAUCUCCUUCCUUUAAGGAAUAGCAUAGACCUCCAGGACCAUGAGUAGCUGCCCUCACUCUACUCUGAGAUGCCAUGGAAGCCAUAGAGAGGGAGCAGAUGGCCCUGUAUGUGGCUCUAGCCACUUCAUCUUGAUUCCUGGCCAGGAGGCUGUAAUUGCCAACACCUGACCCCUCUUGUACUCUGAAUGCUUUGAGUGACAGUGCAUGGUUUGGGCAGAAAAUGUUGAUCUCUCAGCAUUAAGAUGCCUGGAUUGAGGCUCUCAAUGAGGGAAGCAGAAAAAUGCAAUAUUGUUAUGUCAUAAGAAAGGCUAUUAAAGAGGUGCUGCCUGUACUUUAGGAUGCCAGAGAUGGCUGAGAGACCUGGUCCACCUAGGGAUCAUCCUCUGGUGAAAGGAGUCCAUUUUCACUGCAUGGGCCAUAUCUAUGGCUUGAAGAUCUCUAUUAUACAUCUGACUAGUGAAUUCCCAAACAGAGAAGAACUCUUUUGAUUCAUAAUUAUUAGUGUAGGACCGAGUUAAUUGGUUUCGGCAGAAAGAGACCCCUAGAAUGCUGGAGGAAAGAAAAGAGAAAACUAAUAUUUUAUUAUAUAAGGCUCUCUUCUGUACCAGACACCAUUCCAUACAUUGUCAUACAUUCCAGAGAUAAGUUUAUCAAAUUUUGAAAAGCACUUUUUAUGUGCCGGGAAGGCACAUGGUAAUUCCUGGGGCUCUGAGAUGAAUAUGGUGGACAUACCCCUUGCCCUCUUGGAGCUUACAGUAUUGCAGAGGGAAAGAUAUAGAGCAAACAUUUACUUCUCUUCAACCCCUGAGAAGCAGGAAUGUAUUUCCACAUUAUAAAUGUGGAAACUGAGGCUCUGAGAUAUAAUCCAUCUUGCUUAAUAUUGCAGGCCUAUUAAGUUAAGAAGUAGAAGGAGUUCUCUGGUGGCCUAGUUAUUAAGGAUCCAGUGUUGCCACUGCAGUGGUGUGGAUUCAAUCCCUGACUGGGGAACUUCCACAUGCCUGGGCAUGCCCCCCCCCCCCCCCCGCCAAAAAAAAACAAACCAAAAAAAACGGAAGUAGAAUUUUAUUCCCAGUUCUUCCCAGACAUUAAUUUUAAUAUCCUCCUAUUUGCCAUAGAGUCUCUUCUGCCAUUAAUUUUAUGAAUAGCUUUGUAGCUAACAUUAGGUUAAACAAUAAAUUUCAGAGGCAGGCUUCUGAGAUUUUAACAUAUUGGAUUGUUCUUCAUGAAAUAAGCCAAAUCUUUUCAUUCAGCCUACAGAAAUUCUCAGCACCAGAGUUUUGAGUAUUGACUCUUUUUCAUAAGCACUAGGUGGGUAUAUUAGACACAAUUAUUUCUGAAUAACUCAAUAACAAUAAAAAAUUUUCUACCUAAUCCCUUAAAAAGUAUAUAUAUUGAUUUCAAAUAAAAUUAGUUCCCUGGUUAAAAAGUGGCUUGAACGGUAGUAUUUAAUCCUCCUCUCAGCCUCAGCAAGUAGAUUCCCACUGAAAUGCCAGAAGACACGUAGAAACAGAGAACAUUUUGUAUCCACCCUGGGAAACAGGAAAGGAUAUGUGAUCAUCAGAAUAAGCUUAAGAAAGCUUCUCUUAUGCUUGUCUGCAUGUCUGUCACAGCAAAGGUUUAUUCCUCAACCCCCUUCUCCUUCACAUUUUUCCUGGAAUGUUACCCUUCCAGUGAGAUCUUAUGUGCAAAUUUUCCUAUUUCUCUUCUUCUGAUGGUACGUUUGUCUUCCCUGUUUUAUUUUUCUACAUAGCUUAAAGCAAUCACCCAUCAUAGUAUAAAUUUAGCUUUCUUAUUUUAUUGUCUGUCUUCCUGUUUUGUACCAGUAGAAUACAACCUCUACAAAGGAAGGGUUUCUUUGAUUUUUCAUUGCUAUAUCCCUGUUGCCUAAGAUCCUGGUAUACAGAAGGCACUGAAUCAGUACUUCUUAAAUGAAGGAAUCCCUGUUUUACUUAUGAGGAAACUGAGGUUAGAGAAUGCUGUGCUCUCAUUCUGCCCCAUUUUGUGGUCAUCAUUAUGUUUAUGAGAUUUCUCCAUGUUGACAGAUAUAGAUCUUAUUAAUUCUCCUUGGCAUGGUAUUACAUAAUUUGGAUAUUAUUUUUCUGUUCCCUCAUGGAUGGGCAUCUGUGCCGUUUCCAAUUCUAAUAGAACAACUUAGUGCUGGUAUUGAAUUGGGUGUUUCCAGUUGGCUCAAAAGUGAAGAAAUCAGCAAAAGCCUAAAGCUAAGGACAAAAGGAACUAGAUCCAUCCACAUUCUAUAUGGAUGGACAUGUCAGCCACAAGUGCCACCUGCCUCUCUGCAGGGCUUGCCUCUCCCAACUGGUUAUAAGAAGCGGGUUGGGGGAGUUCCCAUUGUGGCUCAUUGGGUUCGUUAACUGCUGAGCCACAACAGAACUCCUGCCUCUGUAAUUAACAGCAUAUUUUAACCAACAAAAUGAAUUAGUAUUCCUGAAUUAUUCUACAUCAGUUGAAAGACAUUGUAUAUAUGUAUGUAUAAAUGUAUGUGUGGAUAUUUAUAUGUAUGGGUAUGCAUAUAUAUGUGUAUAUAUGUGUGUGCAUGUAUAUGUAUAUAUAUGUAUAUAUACACAGGAUAUAUUUUAUGUCUCUAUAUAUCUAUAUAUCUAAAUUUCUUUUGAGCCAGAAUUUUAAGCAUUUUGAUUUCCUUGGCAACCGGGUAUCAUGUGAUCGCAAGUGAAAUCCAGUAUAACAUCUCUACUCCUUUGGAUAAUACCUAAAUGAAUAAGGAUAUUAGGUAUAAAAAGCCCAAAACUGGAGAGAUUCCAUUUAUCAGUUUGCUUUUCUAACAAGCCAGGUGUUCUUAGAUUAAAAAGAAGAAAACAGAACAUUGUUCGGUUAACCUGAUUUUUAGUUUAACUCUAUUUAAAUGAACAAAAGGUCUAAUUAAAGAGGCAUCUCCUGUUACACUUCCAGAAAACAGACCCAGAUUGCUGUAAAUUGUGGUUUUCUUCAAUCACUCAAGUUCUGCUCUCUAGGGAACCUCUCUUAGGCUGACUGAGAUUUUUCCUGGGAUGGGCCCAGCUUCGAAAGCUCUCAGGACCCUAUCAGUUCUGUCUUUAUUAUCCUGAAUGAACUGGAAUUUGGCAAAGAAGUUGUGCAUAGUGCCUAGUGAUAUUCAGCUGGCUGUGGUUGUGUGUCUGUCCAUAAUUUCCCAGUGUAAUUGUGCCCUUGGACUUCUCUGAAAUUUGGUUUGCCAUGUAAACAGCCAUCGGUGUGGUUGGAGGAGAUAAACUGGCUUUAUUUCACUGAAACAUUAGAUCUGAUAAAACAUUGAGGUUCGUUCCUAUUAUCAAUAGGGAUUAUAAUGUUAGCAGGGCUAGCUACCUGAUUUACGAGGCCCAGUGCAAAAUGAAAGUGUGAAUACAUUUAGAAUGGUUAAGCAAUGAGAUUCUACUGUACAGCACAGGCAACUAUAUUCCAUCUUUUGGGAUAGAACAUGAUGGAAGAUAAUAUGAAAAGAAAGAAUAUGUAUAUAAACACAUGACUGGGUCACUUUGCUGUACAGCAGAAAUUGGCACAACAUUGUGGAUCAACUAUACUUUAAAAAAAUAGAUAAACAACAAGGUCCUACUUAUAGCACAGGAAACUAUAUUCAGUAUCUUGUAAUAACCUAUAAUAGAAAAGAAUCUGAAAAAGAAUACAUAUACACACAUGUAUAUUUCUAUACAUAUCUAUAUCUAUAUAUGUGUAAAACUGAAUCACUUUCUAUACACGAGAAACUAACACAACAUUGUAAACUAACUG